This 895-nucleotide ribosomal RNA is filed under the name Fermentozyma sake. RNAcentral's name for it is "LSU rRNA". It matches the Rfam family "Eukaryotic large subunit ribosomal RNA", at positions 38 to 960 of the family's 3401-position model. Lineage: Eukaryota; Fungi; Ascomycota; Pichiomycetes; Serinales; Debaryomycetaceae. The record is from RNAcentral.
GCAUAUCAAUAAGCGGAGGAAAAGAAACCCAACCGGGAUUGCCUCAGUAACGGCGAGUGAAGCGGCAAAAGCUCAAAUUUGAAAUCUGCGUAAGCCGAGUUGUAAUUUGAAGAUGGCUACUUUGGUAAUGGCUCUUGUCUAUGUUCCUUGGAACAGGACGUCACAGAGGGUGAGAAUCCCGUGCGAUGAGAUGUCCAUUACCGUGUAAAGUGCUUUCGAAGAGUCGAGUUGUUUGGGAAUGCAGCUCUAAGUGGGUGGUAAAUUCCAUCUAAAGCUAAAUAUUGGCGAGAGACCGAUAGCGAACAAGUACAGUGAUGGAAAGAUGAAAAGAACUUUGAAAAGAGAGUGAAAAAGUACGUGAAAUUGUUGAAAGGGAAGGGCUUGAGAUCAGACUUGGUAUUUUGUAUGGCUUGCUUUCGGGCGGGUCCUCUGCAGUUUACUGGGCCAGCAUCGGUUUGGGUGGCAGGAUAAUAGCAUAGGAAUGUGGCUCUACUUCGGUGGAGUGUUAUAGCCUUUGUUGAUACUGCCUGCCUAGACCGAGGACUGCGUCUUUUGACUAGGAUGCUGGCAUAAUGAUCCUAAGCCGCCCGUCUUGAAACACGGACCAAGGAGUCUAACGUCUAUGCGAGUGUUUGGGUGUAAAACCCGUACGCGGAAUGAAAGUGAACGUAGAUGAGAGCCUUUUAGGCGCAUCAUCGACCGAUCCUGAUGUCUUCGGAUGGAUUUGAGUAAGAGCAUAGCUGUUGGGACCCGAAAGAUGGUGAACUAUGCCUGAAUAGGGUGAAGCCAGAGGAAACUCUGGUGGAGGCUCGUAGCGGUUCUGACGUGCAAAUCGAUCGUCGAAUUUGGGUAUAGGGGCGAAAGACUAAUCGAACCAUCUAGUAGCUGGUUCCUG